Molecule: small nuclear RNA, 164 nt
Organism: Struthio camelus australis
Lineage: Eukaryota; Metazoa; Chordata; Aves; Struthioniformes; Struthionidae
Gene: U1
Rfam family: U1 spliceosomal RNA
About the family: U1 is a small nuclear RNA (snRNA) component of the spliceosome (involved in pre-mRNA splicing). Its 5' end forms complementary base pairs with the 5' splice junction, thus defining the 5' donor site of an intron.
Source: Ensembl
UAAGUAACCUGGUAGGGGAGACACCAUGAUCAGGUAGGUGGUUUUCUCAAGGUAACGCUCAUCCUUUGCAUUCCAGGUGUGCUGGCCCCUGCAGUUUCCCUAAAUGCAGGAAACUCAACUGCAUAGUUUGUAGUAGUGGGGGACUGUGUUCACACUCUCCCAAA